CUAUAAACAUUCAAGGUCGAUGUAGUAUGGAUAGACUCGAUCUCACGGUAUAUAUAUUACUGUAUAAAUAUUACGUAUGCACGUGAUAUGUGUUAUGUAUCUGAUAUCUCAUCCAGUAUACCUAUAACGUACUUUUCAAGUAACACGUAAAAUUCCCGAGCGCCCAGUCAGCCAAUGUGGCAGCUGUACAGCUGCAUAUGUGAAGCAGUGAGCCAUCUGGUGUCAAAUUUUGGCAGCCUCCGGACCCGACCCUGUCAUGGCGUCCAACAACAGUUAGUGUAACGAAUUCAUCCCGAGAUGCAUAUACAUUACACAUAUGCAACCAUAAGCAGACAAUUAUUAUUGUUGUUGUUUAGCUUCUGGUUCACGUAAACCUUGAAACGAAGUGUGCUACCAGAUGGGAAUUUAUGGUGGAACUCGGUGGUGCGCAUGCGCGAAACUUAUUUGUACACGUGCGCUUUGAAUGAAGUCACGGCGAUUAAAUUCACAUGAUUUUCGACAAAAAUAACGCUGCGAACCUGUGAGCUCCGAUUUACGAGAUGACGGCUGUGUAAUUGACAGCUGGUUAAAUCGAUGUAUUGUUAUUGUGAAGUAACGGGAAUUUGGCGGAAUUAGGUUUAGGUAGAAGGGGAUGAUUUAUUUUACGUCUGCCGACGUUUUCGCUCAAUUUUCAACGAAAUUUCCACGUUGCUCUUAUUUCACACUAUUGUGCCAUACGUUGAAUGGGGAAGCAGGAAACAAUUUUUUAAAAAUCGAAACAAGGGACAACUAAGUGAAAACGACGAAAAAAAAAGGAAAAAGAAAAAAAAUUUUGAAAUCACCCGGAGUCGAACCAGAGUCGAGGAAACUGCGCAAUGUACAUACAAUGAAAAAUAAGAAGACGACCAAUUCAUGAAUAUCUUGUCGUCAAUGUUCAACCAAGAGGAUCCACGAGGACUGGGCAGCCGCUUGGCUCGGGGAGGCUCGUUAAGAGGCGAGAAAUCACGGGAAGGUCGAAGGUCGCUGGAAGAUAGGAAAGUGCGGAGGGUGGAUGAAAAGAGAUGACUGGGAGUCUCUCCCGGUAGGUUGUAAGUUGUAGGACGAAGGUUAUACGUAUAGCGGAUAGUAGUUACUAGGUUAGGUUAGGUUAAGUUACAGUUAGAUAGUUCAAGUAGAAUCUAUAGGAACACGGGGGAGGCUGCGAGGGUGAAGGUAAAUGAGAAGUCGAAGGUGGAAUCUAACCUAACCUUCUUCGAAACAUAAAUAACCUUCUAUACUAGGUGAGCUGAAACUAACUGGAAUCAGAUACAAGUUUGAAGAUUCCUGCACCGAGACUGUGUCGUCACAGUUGUCACAUGACGUGGUACGGACUACUUCAAUUAGCACGAAGCUUGAGCUUAAUUAAUGAGGAUGCGAAAAUGAAGAUGAUACGUCGAUGGUGAGACCUAACCUUGACUGAAACGUAAAUACAGGCUGCGUUACGUAAAGCGGAACGAAUUUAAAUCGGACAGAAGUUUCCAAGUGUCUCGCGAGCUUGUCAUCAGAUUUGCUGUAUAACUUGUUCGAACUAUUUUAAUUAUCAGAGAUGAAGUUUCCGAGUAACGAAGUGGGGAGAAUUGAGAUAAGGGAUGUUUUUGGUGAAACCUGGAAUUGCGUGAGGAGAAUCCAAACGGAGUAUCGGAGUAUAUGUAUUGUAUAUGACGCGAUUUCCGUAUAUUGGUCACGUGAGGUUAUUUUGAAUAUCGUGUAAUUAUUGAUUUCCUUAAAAUUGAAAUAGGACGAAGAUAAUAUUUUUGGGAGACGGAGAUGAAAAAUUGCAAUAAAUCUGCCUAAGACGAUAAGCUCGUGCGAUUUCAUGGAAUUGUUUGAGGGACUUUAAGGAAUUCAAAAAGAUAUAAUAAAUUUUGGCUACGGGUUAAAUUUGGCAAAAGACAAAAUGGCGUCGCGAGCCCUGUGGCUUCGUCUAAAUGCAAAACGUAUCCUUGGGUAAGGAUUAGGCGAGCUUAGGCUACGAAAAUCUGAAUGCCUCAGCCUCUAAGAAGGUACGACUUUGGUAUAUGUAUACUGGGGUAUAGGGUGUGUGGUAUAGUGUAUUUCACUGUGCAGGAAAGUGUAUGUACAUGCAAUGUAGGUAUGUACAGGGCUGUUACGAUGGAGUACGGUGACGAUGGGUUUGCUUUUGUGUUACGAAAAUUAAGCCGAAACUUCUUAAUGAAUUUCAGUAAAAGGACAAUGGGCUGAGACAUUGCGCGUUUCGCGGGUUAAUGGAUUUCACUGUCUUAUCAUUCUUAUCUACGAGUAAUUCAAAGCUCCUCCGCGAGGCUUACUAUGAAGUUGGAGUCUGUUGAAAUUUUGUAAUAUUUACUCGAACUUCGCUGCACCAGUUACUUGUACAGUGGAACAAUUUUCAAAAUUCACAUACACCGUCGAAACAUUGUUCGCGCACUUGGAUGCACGCAAAUAUAUGUAUGUGCCAUUAUACACGUGUCCUACGUAAAUAGUAAGACGCAAGGGUGCAUAUAUU
Long non-coding RNA from Cephus cinctus (wheat stem sawfly), 2503 nucleotides. RefSeq lists it as uncharacterized. The record is from RefSeq and is a predicted model, not a curated record. The transcript is spliced from 4 exons. NCBI's taxonomy places the organism in Eukaryota, Metazoa, Arthropoda, Insecta, Hymenoptera, Cephidae.